GUUGAAGGUUGGGUAACACUAACUGGAGGACCGAACCGACUAAUGUUGAAAAAUUAGCGGAUGACCUGUGGCUGGGGGUGAAAGGCCAAUCAAACCGGGAGAUAGCUGGUUCUCCCCGAAAGCUAUUUAGGUAGCGCCUCGUGAAUUCAUCUCCGGGGGUAGAGCACUGUUUCGGCUAGGGGGCCAUCCCGGCUUACCAACCCGAUGCAAACUGCGAAUACCGGAGAAUGUUAUCACGGGAGACACACGGCGGGUGCUAACGUCCGUCGUGAAGAGGGAAACAACCCAGACCGCCAGCUAAGGUCCCAAAGUCAUGGUUAAGUGGGAAACGAUGUGGGAAGGCCCAGACAGCCAGGAUGUUGGCUUAGAAGCAGCCAUCAUUUAAAGAAAGCGUAAUAGCUCACUGGUCGAGUCGGCCUGCGCGGAAGAUGUAACGGGGCUAAACCAUG
RNAcentral lists this ribosomal RNA (449 nucleotides) under Salmonella enterica. RNAcentral describes it as "partial 23S ribosomal RNA". It matches the Rfam family "Bacterial large subunit ribosomal RNA", at positions 744 to 1191 of the family's 2925-position model. Lineage: Bacteria; Pseudomonadati; Pseudomonadota; Gammaproteobacteria; Enterobacterales; Enterobacteriaceae. RNAcentral also lists the same sequence under 1 other name. The record is from RNAcentral.